CAAAUCUUGUUAAAUAUAUAGCUUAGUGAUUAAUUAAUUAAGUAUAUAGCUUAGCCUAGUUUUGUUAGGUAUAUAGCUUUUCCAAUUUUGACUAUUUAAUUUUAUUCUUUUAGUUAAAAGUUUUAUUAAAUCACUAAUAUAAGAAAUCGAUCAGCGAAAAUUAAGAAUAUUUUACCAUUUUAUUGAAAAAGGAUCGAAUUUCCGUUUAAUUUCAUUUGAUUCAUUAAAUGCUCAAAAUUUACCAAAACAGAUUCAUUUAAGUUAAGUUCCAAUAAAUUUAUUUAAACAUGUUUGGAUAAAAGUCACGAAAAUGACCAAAAUAUAACUAAUCUUUUUGGUAAAUUUUGAACACUAAGUGGAUUAAAUUGUAAAGAUAGAAUUUAGAAAAUGUUUUAUUAUCUUUCCAAAAACGAAGUCACUAAAUCAUUUAAAUCAUUUUCAAAGUGAUUCGGUACUUGAGAGCUCUUUCAAGAAUUGAAACAAAUUCAGAAUUUUCAAUUUGAUGCAUCCACCUAUAUCUGAGAUGAUUCAAAUUUUUGCGCCAUUGCAAACUAAGCAAUCCUCCAAUCGCUUCAAAGCAUUUAACUGCUUUCAGUCGUUAUACGACCGCGCACGCGAGAGUUUCGUGUUGAGUAUGAUAAAAUUUGUGUGAUUUUUCGUAAAAAGUUAAAAAAUAUACGUGAUUGAAAAGGAGUGAUUUGUAAAAAGUGUUGGCGAUAUGGAGAAGCCUUGGACUCUGAAGAAAGUAAAAGGCAUAGCUUGGAUGGAAUUGCCGCCAUGAAGAAUAUCAUUGCGCAGUGUGAAUACGUCAAGAUUUACAUGUGAAUACGAUGAUUAAAAUACAUCUAAUAGGGGAUCUCCUGUAUAAUUUCUGAUAGAAGAUUUCUAAUUUAAUUGGUCUAAGGAGUUUUAUCAGACCUGUCUCAGUGAAGCUGAAUGAAAGCAAAUAGGAAGUUGAAUACCAGAGCAACCUAAGACUCUGACCAGGCAGAAUCAACGUGGUUACGUGGUUCGAACGGCGAGAGCCGGUUAAAGAAGUGUGUUCUGAUGAAUGAACGAAUGGAUAAAUGUCAGAGCGCCGGUAGGGGCGGUAAAAGAAGAGACGGACUUGCGCCCCUGCAGGUCCGAAGUCUGUUGGAGGGGGCGAAGAGGACGUAGGAUGUAGAAGGGUGAGGGGUCGUUGGGUUAAUUGCACCGCAUCACAGAACGUAGUAUUUCGUAGUACGUGAUGGUGGGGAUGUAAUGCGUCCUCGAUCGUCCUCGUCCUCGUCGACGGCGUCGUCGUCGCCGUCGUUAUUCGUAUGUAAGCUGCACGCUCGCCUGGAUCGACGUAUGCGUAUCAGGGCCGUAUCCACACAGGUGUUCCAUUCGAAAAGGAUUACUAAAGGGAAUAUUCAAUUUUCUGUUCAACUUUGGUGUAACCUCGUUACUUUAAGCCUCUACUAGUAUAGUGAUUAUAAAAUUAAUUUCAAAACAACUUUAUUUCUUCUUUUUUGAUAUAAAAGAAAGUUACUUGAAUCUUCUAUUGAUUAGUAGUGAGCAUAAUAAUUUGUAUAAAAAUUGUAUUUCUAUUUUCUAAUUUUUAUUAAUUAAUGCAAAUGAAAGUUAAGUCAUCAAAUGUAGGACAAAUUAUCGCAGUCAUCCAUGAUGCAACAGUGUCAGUUGAGGGUUAAUGUUAUUACGCUAGAAUUACCUAUCUAUCAAAAUAAUUGGAAUCAGGUUUUUUGUUUUUCCAAUAGAACACUAUAAGGGAGGAACAUAAGUUACAUUCUCUGUCUUUUACAGAGGAACAGUUUUAAGAUUCAGUAUAUUGUUAAUCAAUCCCAUAUUAUCAAAAAUAUGUUUCUACUAUAGUUUUCAAUUAUUAGAAAUAGAUAUUUAUUUUUGGUGUUAUUGAUAUUUUAGUUUUAUUCGGAUAGAAACACUUAUUUUGGAUAUAUUGCAUUAAUUCCAAUCAACUAUCUGGAACAUAUGAAAGAGCUUGUUAGUUUUAGUGUUAAUAACAAAAUUAAUUCAAAGUAAAUAGAUAGGAAAGAAUACGUCUAAUAGAUUAAAUAAACUAAUUAGAGAUGGCUUCAUAAUAAUUGAAACUUAUGAAAUUCUAUUUAUAUAUUAGAAUUUAUGUCUUUUCACUUUUCUUUAGAUGACGAUAAUAAGGUGUUAAUGGAUUUGGAAGUUUUAGGGUGUACCAUGGAGUGAGAAUUUCUGAAAAUAUCGACGGACUUAAUCUGACGAAUCCACGGGCAAUUUAAUCGCGUAUAAAGUUUAAAAUAACUUCUAUACUUGAGUGUCUUGGAGAUUUCUGAAGGAACCUGUAAUCUUGAUGAAUUUAAGGAGCUGGCAAUCUUCGCGAAGCUAAUUCUGCUCUUGAGGGAAGCACAACUUUUGCUCCAUUUCGUCAGUCUUAAACAAACACUUAUAGAAAUUGUUUUAUUUCUUUCUUAGUUAAUUUAUAUUAGAUUAAUUGAAAUAAUUUGUUUUAGAACAUUUGAAGAUUACAAGGAAAAACACAUGUCUUCAUUGUAUCAUGGUAAUGCUAUAGUUUCAUUGAUCUUGAUGUUAUUCAGUGAUUAAAAGGAUAUACUUUGAUAUAAUAUAAUUAAAGAUAGGAAAAACCCAAUUAGUCUAAAGGUAUAACUGAUUAAAAAUAUCAAGCCCAUAAAGAUUUAUGAAAAAAUUAACUUACCAUAAUACUUUUGAGAAAUCAAUAUAUUUGAUGAUCUCACUCAUAACCAAUUUUAAUAAAAAUACAAAUUUGGUAAUAUACGUGAAUUGUUAACAAGAUAUGAGAUAUUAAAGUAGCUCUCAUAUGAAAAACAAAAAGUAUGACUUAUCACAGCUUUCCCCUGUAGUUUUCUUUUAUUAGAGGUGUCGCAUUUAGGAAAUGAAUUUAACAGUGUCAUAUCAGACAUUGGCGGAGCCCCGAGUCGCCAAAUGGACGAUAAUACGAACCAAUCGGCACGACGUACUUGAUGAACGUAAUAAUCGAUCGGUUGAGACGUUUGACACACUUUUCCAGCCAGACAACGAUUAAUUUUCGUCGAUGCAAAUCUGUACUAAGUGAUGUGGCGAAGGCGUUUUCGUGAAAAUGGCACAGGUGCACUGAAACUCUGUAUUGUAAUAAAUAAUCGAUACCAUUCAUUGUCUCUGAUGUGGCUGUGGUUCAGAUUAGAGAAACACCUUUUCAACAUAUUUGGAUUCUAGGGGAAAAUAUCUUCUUCUUCUUUCAUAUUUUCUACGGUACAUUCAAGUGAGUCAAUUAAUACUUUCCAGGCAAAAAUUAUUUCAAAGUACCAAGAUACUCAGAGAGAAAAAUCGAUUUCUACAACACAAUGAAUACAAUUUCAUUCUGAAUACUAACAAUAUCAAGCCAAAAGUCACGCUAGAGCUGCAAAAUACUUUAAAUUUCAAAAGAUCCUAUAUAUUAUAUUAUAUAUAGACAAAUUGAAAAUUUGCAUAAUUUUAUGUACAAUCAGGGCGAAGAGGAGAAUUGAUACGGUGUUGUUAGCUCGUGUGCGUGACGUGGAAAGCACACGCGAGCACACGCUCACGCUGCUCGCGUGUCAACUACCGUAACCCUCGAGUACAUCGGGGGUUUCACGAUGGACGGGGUCGCGGCUGAAAGGAAGGGGCUGAAAAAAGGUGUGAAUGCCGGAUGGCAUUCAUUCAAAUGCCGUCCAAUCACAGCAUCGUACUCCAGGUCGAGUAGCAGGGCCGGCAUGCAUCGGGAAUUAUUAAGUCCUCGCGAUUCCCUGUUGCGUUAACGAGCCAAAUUAACUCAAACCGAGAAGAAAAACCGUCUGCGAGAUAAACUGGAUAAAUAUUGUAUUAAUUAUUGCUGCAUUGCGUAUGCUGUUAGCCACGACGAAGUGGCUAAAAAGUUCUAAAAAGAAGCUCUAUCCUUAUAAAAUAGAAAUUGAAGACUAUUUUAAAGAUUGGUUUGGAAAAAGGAUGAGCAAAUUUGGAGUAAGAAGGAUUGUAUUUGAGCGAUAUUUCAACAAAUCAAAUAAAACAGAAACUGGAAUAGAAAGUCGUGGCAUGAAAUCAAGUAGAUCUGCUAAUUUCCUGUGGAUCAAUUUUGUAUAGUUAAUUGCAUUUUAAUUUUUAUUGCAUGGUAUAAAUUGGUUUAGAAGUGUAAAUAAAGCAAUGGACAGUAUGUCGAAUUAGGUAUUAGUUAAAAUAAGGAUAUUUCUGAUAAAAUAUAAACAAAAAGCAGAGCCAAAAAUAUGUGGCUAUAUUUGAAUAGCAAAGUUACAUUAUUACAUCGAAGAAGAUAAGAAUAAGGUACCAUUUAACUUUCACUGAAUCAAUCUCUUUGAACUUUUACCAGUUUUACUUAAAAUAACUCUUCUAUAUGGAAUAAAAGCUUCUAUGAAUAAAUAGAAUAAAGAUAUAAUCUUUCCUAGAUUCUGCAGUUUCAGUUAGACGCCGCUCUGAAAUUUAUGAAUCAAAUAGAGAGGAUCCGGCUCGACUCGCCGAGGCAACGUCUUUCUGCCGAGUGUUUUUGACACGAGGCGGUCUCUCCAAUCGAUCCAGGCUAGAAUAGCCGAACCGGAAGUGGGACGUUUAGGCUCGAUGGGAAUGACAACGAAGAGAGAGCGACUUAACUUUGGAUCACGACGGGGCCCUCUCGCUGUGAAUCACUCGAACGAAUUUCCUCGAUAAGAUAGCUAGCUCUCCUUCCAGCCGCCUAUUCUUCCAUGCGAGAAUUACUUUCGUUCAACGAAGGAGAGGCGAUUCUUCUACUUAAGAAUUAAUUGAAAGGGAAACGAAUCGUCGACGUUGAUCGAACGGGGAUCUAGAAGACAUCAGCUUCUUCCAUGAACCAUCCUGUUUCAUCUCUUUCAUAAGUUAUUAAAUAGAUAAAAAAGAAGAACGUCAAGAGAAAUUGCUAUUAUAAUUUUGGUAAAUUAAUUUACGGUUAUGUGUAUUUAAUUUGUCAGAAUACUAGUAGGAUUGUUCAUACUUAAGAUGUGACCAAAAUAUUGGCUUCAUACGUACUCACGUAAUUGUUUUCGUGGUUAAGUUCGAAAGAAGAAUUUCUUCUUUUGAAGAGAUGUAACGGAUUCUGUGAGAAAAAUUAAAUGAUACUUAUACUUUUGUUCAAUUCUGCGAUACUGCAACUGCACAGAACUUUUUAAACGUUAUCUUAGAGAACUGAAUAUUUAAAUCAUGAAAAUAAGUAAAAAUAUAGAAAUUUAAAGGUUGAAAUAUUUAAUCUUAUUAAUAUCUUCAGAUCUACUGAACGAAAGUCGAUUAGCCUUGAUAUUUCCAAAAGGACUGCUAUAAUCUCGAAUAUAAUCAAUUUCUGUAAAGAAAUUCUAAUUUAAUCUAACGAUGAAAAAGUGUUUCAUUUAAUUUUAAUUUAAUAAUUGAAGAUUACUGUGAAUUAAUAUUAAAAGAACAAUAAGAGAAGAUAAAUUCUCUCUAGCAAAGAGAAUCUUAUUAAUUCCACUUAAUAUUUUCAAAUAGAUUUCAAGUAUCAAUUUGGACAGUAACUCACUAGACCACAAUUGGUGUGGUUAGAGGCAUCAAUGAAGCAGGAUGAAGGUAGAUCCCGUUUCACGUUCAGGUUUUCUGGUGUCUACGGUUGAAACUGAUAUACUCUGAGCUGAAAGACAAGUAACUUUCAUCGAUCUUGUUCGGUGAUCCCGUCAUCCCCCAGUGGCGAGGAUCUCCCUCUCGUUUUUGUGUUUAAUUGCUCGUCACGACGACGAGCGUCGAACCCGAAUAAAUUUGAAAGCUGUUCACGGGGAAUUUUAUUGAACGUCCGGCAGAAACUCUGCGACGAUUCUCACCGUUAUUAACGUAUCCAUUCUGGCCGCGUUUUACUCUCAAACUAUAAGGAAAUUAAGCAGCUGUUUCACUGAAAUGGAAGAAAAUAUGUUGCAAUCUGAUAGAACAAUUUCCAUCUCAACUAAUAUAACGUCAGAAUAAUUUUCAUCCGAAUAAUUUUCAU
Bombus terrestris (buff-tailed bumblebee) is the source of this 5959-nucleotide long non-coding RNA. RefSeq lists it as uncharacterized. The record is from RefSeq and is a predicted model, not a curated record. Lineage: Eukaryota; Metazoa; Arthropoda; Insecta; Hymenoptera; Apidae. The transcript has 2 exons.